This is a long non-coding RNA of Atta colombica, 265 nucleotides long. RefSeq lists it as uncharacterized. The transcript has 3 exons. The record is from RefSeq and is a predicted model, not a curated record. Lineage: Eukaryota; Metazoa; Arthropoda; Insecta; Hymenoptera; Formicidae.
UGAUGUAAUAUGUCAUUAUUUCAUUUAGAUACGGUGCUUUGCAGAAAAAUUAUAUUCUUCGAGCGUUAGUGCUACAGUCGCACAUGCUACUUUUAGACAAUUGAUGACGUCAGGAUCUGUUACAGUAUCUACAAACAUUAAAGAAACAUCCAGUACAUGAAUAAACAUGGAUGAGGUCAUUACAAAAGAAAUUCUAUCCUCAAACAAUGGGAAUCUUCAAAGAAGCUGGUAAUAAUAGAAGGUGAGAAAGUGUUUUGCGUGGGUG